GGCAAUAUAUGAAUCGAAGGUUUUCAUGAUUCUAGGUUUGUCUACAUUACCUUAAUUUCUCUUAGGAAAUAGUGUUGUUCUCAAUCCUGUUGUGGUUGCUUCAAAGUUACUUGAAAAGACUCCACAAAAUUUCCAAAAUAAUCUAAACUUCUCACAACAAAAUCAGUUUGUACGGCACUUUGACAUGGAAGAAUUGAAGAAACUCGCAAGAAAAAAUAGAAUACGCAUACGGAACAAGAAACGACCAAAAUAUUCCUCGGAUAACAAUGGUAUGAACUUUUAUAACUAUUUACUGAUUUUCAAUACAAAAUCAUAUACUAUUCCGCUUAAAUUAAUGAACACUUUAUUAUAGUAUGUGCUCUUUUAUUUUCUUUGCGGUAAAUUAUAUUUUUCUAAUUUGUCUUUCUACCUGACUGUUUAAUCUACCAUAAACUUUUUAUCACGUCCUUAAGUUUUUUUAACUAUUCAACGUUGUGGCAUAUUAUUUGUGUAUAUUCUAUUCAUAAAGAGACCAAUAUGUAUGUUAUUCAGUUCCUUUGUUCCAAUCAAUUGUCCUCUAUUCUUUUAUUUGGCUUAAAUUAGAUUUUCCUUCUUUUUACCUGAUUUAUUUUUUCUACUAGAUCAGAAUAAAUAUACCCAAAAUUUUUUAGCAAUAAAUUCGUGAUUGAACUACCUAAUAUUUUUGUCCAUUCCUUGUAUACUUUACUUAUUUUUUGUCUUACUAAGUUGUUUGAUUCUCUGUUUUUCAAUUUCAAAGCUGCAUUUGUUGAUAUUGAAUCUUAUAACAUUUGUUUUUUUAAAAGUUAUUCUGAUGAUUAGUUGUAUAGGUGUAUCAUCUUUAGAUUUCGCCUUUUUACAUGCUUUAGUCAGUUGGAAGUAGAGAAAAUCAACAUUUCAAAUCAGCUCUUCAAUUCUUCUAUACUAAUCUCUAAAGUGAACAUAGCGAAAGUAAAAGGGAGAGGGGUGAAUUGUGGUCGAUUAAAACUUAGUUGAUUAAAUAUGAGUUUAGUCGACUAGAUUCAGCACAAUGAAUAGUUAAAGAGAAGUAAACCAAGCAAACUGAAAGAUAAUAGGACACAACAAUUUUUAUACUGGUUCAGUACCAGUAAGUUACUUACAUCCAGUUUUCCUUGGGUCACAAGGGACUUCUUAGAUCUUUGAUAAUAGGUUACAAUGAUGAUGGUUUUGGUUCGCUCACCAUCAACAACAUUCAAUGAUAAUAGCUUUUCUAAUGUUGACAAAACUCUUUUGUGUUCUAUCUCUUCUUAUCUUUUAUGACACUUGUAGACUCAAGAAUACAGUGUUUGUACUAAGAACUAGAAAGGUUUAGAAUCAGUUUGUGUAGUUGCGUAUCCAAUCCUUAAGUAUGCCAGUCUUCUUAUAGACCAGAUUUGACAGCUGUUAUGAUUUGUUUUGAUUGGUGCACACAAUGUUUUAUUGAUAUUUGAUUCAUGACCCGUGUCUUUAAUUCCUUCAAGAAGGAUGGGCUAGAUUUAAUAAUCCAGGGAGUGCUCCAAGCCGAGAUCUAGGGAGUGCUGCCAUGCUCCAUGCUUAGUCGAAGAAAGGAGCAGUUGAUGGGCUGGAUUAAUUUAUCCGGGGAGUGCUUUCCAUGCUCCAUGAUUUAUUGGGUAGAGGAACAACAUUUCAAGUUGUCUCCAAUUACAUUGUGUUCCCUUUCCAUUUUGAAUCUUCCUUCAUACAGAAUCUGCUAUUUGUAUUUGCAGGUGAGUUACAUGUAAGGCAAUGGUUCAAGAUACAUAAUCAUGGAGUGGAUCUUCAUUCCUUUUUGGCAAUGCUUGCUUCACCUGAAUCUGUAUAUAUUAAUAUAACAUUCAUCAAGACUUCUUUAUGGAUAUUUGAUCAUUAUUAAAAUUCUACACUUAACAAUCUCC
Molecule: long non-coding RNA, 1892 nt
Filed under: Nicotiana tabacum (common tobacco)
Lineage: Eukaryota; Viridiplantae; Streptophyta; Magnoliopsida; Solanales; Solanaceae
Description: long non-coding RNA (NTAB_LNC016945)
Source: RNAcentral